CAGCCCUAAACGAUGCGCGUUAGGUGUAUCGGUGACCACGAGUCACCGAGGUGCCGAAGGGAAACCGUGAAACGUGCCGCCUGGGAAGUACGGUCGCAAGGCUGAAACUUAAAGGAAUUGGCGGGGGAGCACCACAACAGGUGGAGCCUGCGGUUUAAUUGGAUUCAACGCCGGACAUCUCACCGGAUAAGACAGCUGAAUGAUUGUCAAUCUGAAGGUUUUACAUGACUAGCUGAGAGGAGGUGCAUGGCGUCAGUGACU
Molecule: ribosomal RNA, 261 nt
Filed under: uncultured archaeon
Lineage: Archaea
Description: partial 16S ribosomal RNA
Rfam family: Archaeal small subunit ribosomal RNA
Source: RNAcentral